UACUGAUUUGCAUUUCUUUUUUCAUGAAUUAAUUUGGAUUUUUACAAAUGUACCAAUGUGUGGUUUUAUAUAUAUAUUGGGAUAUAGACAAAGUAGAAAUAUUUCUUAGUUUGUUGGUUUAAACAAGAAUUAGAUACUCUUUUAUAAAUAAAUUGAUUUUUAUAAUCUCAGUUUUAACUGAAAGAAAUUGGCAGCUGAUGAUAUCCCGUUGGGGGAAUGUGUGAUUUAAUAGAUGUUCCACUAGAUAAUUUAUUCCUAUUAUUAGUUAGUGUAUAUCCGGUUUAGUUACAAAAACCAUAUGGUUUUUGUAAAAAAUUAUUUUGUUUUAAUCCAGGUCAAUAUGCUGCUUAUUUAGGAGUUAUCAUGCAUUACAUUAUAAGAUUUUGCACUGUAAGAGUGUGGAUUGGUUUAGGACUCAAUAGUAUUAUAAGAGAUUGUGCU
RNAcentral lists this ribosomal RNA (441 nucleotides) under Protopolystoma occidentalis. RNAcentral describes it as "partial 12S ribosomal RNA". The record is from RNAcentral. Lineage: Eukaryota; Metazoa; Platyhelminthes; Monogenea; Polystomatidea; Polystomatidae.